AUUGAACGCUGGCGGCAUGCCUUACACAUGCAAGUCGAACGGUAACGGGCCUUCGGGUGCCGACGAGUGGCGAACGGGGGAGUAAUACAUCGGAACGUGCCCGAUCGUGGGGGAUAACGAGGCGAAAGCUUUGCUAAUACCGCAUACGAGCUACGGAUGAAAGCAGGGGACCGCAAGGCCUUGCGCGGACGUAGCGGGCGAUGUCAGAUUAGGUAGUUGGUGGGAUAAAAGCUUACCAAGCCGACGAUCUGUAGCUGGUCUGAGAGGAUGAUCAGCCACACUGGGACUGAGACACGGCCCAGACUCCUACGGGAGGCAGCAGUGGGGAAUUUUGGACAAUGGGCGCAAGCCUGAUCCAGCCAUGCCGCGUGCAGGAUGAAGGCCUUCGGGUUGUAAACUGCUUUUGUACGGAACGAAAAGCCUUCUUUUAAUACAGGAGGGUCAUGACGGUACCGUAAGAAUAAGCACCGGCUAACUACGUG
This 482-nucleotide ribosomal RNA is filed under the name uncultured bacterium. RNAcentral's name for it is "partial 16S ribosomal RNA". It matches the Rfam family "Bacterial small subunit ribosomal RNA", at positions 30 to 507 of the family's 1533-position model. The record is from RNAcentral.